This is a non-coding RNA of Mus musculus (house mouse), 57 nucleotides long. Lineage: Eukaryota; Metazoa; Chordata; Mammalia; Rodentia; Muridae. The record is from Rfam.
UGGCUCAGUGGUUAAGAGCACUGGCAGCUCUCCCAGAGACCUGGGUUCAAUUCCCAG